RNAcentral lists this ribosomal RNA (1299 nucleotides) under Triticum aestivum (bread wheat). RNAcentral describes it as "partial small subunit ribosomal RNA". The record is from RNAcentral. Lineage: Eukaryota; Viridiplantae; Streptophyta; Magnoliopsida; Poales; Poaceae.
AUGAGUCAGCACAAGAAUGGAAACUUGACAGCAUUAGCUCGGGAAAGAUGCUGCUCACAGUUGAAUAAGUCUGGACUGGUACACCAGAGUAUUGCUAGGCGCACCUUGCCAGAGAAAUCAAGUCAAAUAGCAGAUUUCAGCAGAAAAAGGGUUACUCACAAGCCUCAUUUGCAAGAUGAGGAACUGUGGAAAAAGUAUGAGUUAGCUGCAAAAGCUAUGAGUGAUGAAGCUGAUACCAGCAAUGAUGGUGACAUGGGAAAUGAUAUGGAUGAUUUUCAUGGUGGUGCAAAUGGUGCAGAUGAAUUAAUGGGUAAUGAAAAUCUGGAAAGUGAAGAAUCCCAGGAUAGCCAUGGCUUUGCAGGUACCUCAAAGACCAGUAAGCACAACAAUGCAACUGAAUUAGUUGAUGAAAAUCUGGAAAAUGAAGAAGUGCAGGGUAACCAUGGCCUUACAGCUACGUCCAAGACUAGACCUCAAACAGGUGAAAAGCGCAGGGUCCGUGGGAAAAAUAAAUGCAAGGAAGUAGCUGAUCUCGUGGAGUCCCAAAAAAUUAAAGUCCAGUUUUACAAUAACCGUGCGCUUUCCAGAAGUUUUGCGCGACACUUGGGUAGAAUCGUCCGUAAUCCUAGAAUUACCCCGAUGAGGGUAAAGGAAUGGUCCAAUAUUACUGAUGCAGCUCGGAAACAUAUAUUUGAUGCAAAUAAGGACAAGUUCGAAAAUAUUGACGACAACAUUGCAAUAGAUGUGUACAAAGAUGAGAUAUUAGACCAUGUCAGGAAACUUUGGAUCAACUGGCGUGGAGACUUGCACCGGCAUUUUGUGAAACCCAACAAGACUAUGCAACAGGCUAUGAAAAAGAAAAAGAGCAAGAGAAACACCCAAAACAGAGCUAACCUCAAAAUGCUUCACCGAUCUGGCAGUAAACCCUUUAGACAGAUAAUUUGGGACAUGGGGGGAAAGGAAAACAAGCCAUCGAGUAUGGAUAAACUAUUUUCAGAGACACACAAGAAGGGUACAAACUUCCCUGAUUCUACAACCUCUGCCAAACAUAAAUGUGACACAUCUAAGCGGCAUGAUCGCGUAGUUGGAUUUGGUGGUGGAAUUAGAGCAAGAGAUUUGCGAGGACCAGCAUUAAGUAAGGCUGAAUUAGUUUCUCAACUUCAAGCUUCUGAGCAAGCGAAACAAGUACUCGAAGAAAAGGUCAAUGUCAUGGCGCAAGAAGUAUCAGAAAUUAAGCGUCUUCUAUCUGGUAGAUCUCUAACUGAUAGUUCUCAUGAACGCCAACAUGAUCAAGACUGA